Molecule: transfer RNA, 93 nt
Filed under: Desulfobacterales bacterium
Lineage: Bacteria; Pseudomonadati; Thermodesulfobacteriota; Desulfobacteria; Desulfobacterales
Also listed under: 1 other name
Description: tRNA-Ser
Rfam family: tRNA
About the family: Transfer RNA (tRNA) molecules are approximately 80 nucleotides in length. Their secondary structure includes four short double-helical elements and three loops (D, anti-codon, and T loops).
Source: RNAcentral
GGAGAGAUGGCCGAGCCGGCUGAAGGCGCUCGCCUGCUAAGCGAGUGUAGGAGGAAACUUCUACCGAGGGUUCGAAUCCCUCUCUCUCCGCCA